Molecule: transfer RNA, 85 nt
Filed under: Lentisphaerota bacterium
Lineage: Bacteria; Pseudomonadati; Lentisphaerota
Description: Lentisphaerae bacterium (feces metagenome) tRNA-Leu
Rfam family: tRNA
About the family: Transfer RNA (tRNA) molecules are approximately 80 nucleotides in length.
Source: RNAcentral
GCUCGGGUGGCGGAACUGGCAGACGCGUACGGUUGAGGUCCGUAUGGAGCAAUCCUUGGGGGUUCAAGUCCCCCCUCGAGUACCA